This 215-nucleotide ribosomal RNA is filed under the name Clostridium sp. NF4. Its description in RNAcentral is "partial 16S ribosomal RNA". It matches the Rfam family "Bacterial small subunit ribosomal RNA", at positions 288 to 523 of the family's 1533-position model. The record is from RNAcentral. Lineage: Bacteria; Bacillati; Bacillota; Clostridia; Eubacteriales; Clostridiaceae.
AGGUGACAGGGCGAUCGCGACCUGUGAAACUGAUACACGCACCAAAUCCCUACGGGAGGCAGCAGUGAGGAAUAUUGCACAAUGGGCGAAAGCCUGAUGCAUGAACGCCGCGUGAGCGAUGAAGGGCUUCGUGUCGUAUAGCUCUGUCCUCAUCGAAGAUAACUGUUGUACUUGAGGAGGCAGCCCCGGCUCACUACGUGCUGCCGCCGCGAUAG